RNAcentral lists this small RNA (24 nucleotides) under Arabidopsis thaliana (thale cress). RNAcentral describes it as "ATSL139590". The record is from RNAcentral. Lineage: Eukaryota; Viridiplantae; Streptophyta; Magnoliopsida; Brassicales; Brassicaceae.
GGUUUCAUCUUCUCCUUCGUUUCA